This is a long non-coding RNA of Mesocricetus auratus (golden hamster), 916 nucleotides long. RefSeq lists it as uncharacterized. The transcript is spliced from 5 exons. Lineage: Eukaryota; Metazoa; Chordata; Mammalia; Rodentia; Cricetidae. The record is from RefSeq and is a predicted model, not a curated record.
UACUGCCUGAAUGCAUUCUGCUAGGUGACUGGGCAGGCCAGCAUAAUGCCUGAAUCCUUACACUGACUCCCGGAUUGAUUUACCAUUGCAGAGAGAUUAUUUAUAACUCUAGUCAUAUUUGCUGAAACCUGGUCACCCUCCCAUGGGAGAAGGACUUAUGAAAGAAAAAAGCAUACCUAUCUCAGACAACUUUGAGGAAGCGUACAAGGAAGGUGCUGGGCUAAAAGUAGACUUCAACAAAAGCUCUAAUUGGUUUCUAGAGCAAACCCUGGGAAUCUGGAGAUCAUAAGAGAAUGUCAUUGAAAUGUGAAGUGCACAGCAAGGCGGCACAUUGAGCUUCUAUCAUUCCGGACCAUGGUGAAUAUUUAGUGAGCUAACCCUACUUGAAUGCAGUGUAGACUUCGGAUCCUGAAAGGGAAAGGAUCAGUCCUCUCCACUUUACCAACAGCACCGAUCGCAGCAUCUUCUAUAGUCUUUAACCACCCUGAGAAUGCUUCUCACAUCAGCAACAACGUGGAAGGCGGAAGCAGCCCAUCACGUCCCACCCAUCAUGCAUGCCACAUGUACUGCUUCACAGACUCCUCUGCUUCCCCUCACCCUUUCCCUACAGCACAACCAGUGUGUGUGCUCACGUACAACCAGUGUGUGUGCUCAUUACCUACCCUCCCUGGGUUUCGGAGGAACAGACCCCACCUCAUCUGUCUAGGGUUAUGUCAGUUUCCUGCCACUUGCUGUGGUGUAGACUGGCUGCAUGGCUAUGAAAUGAACAAGGAGGACAAAGCAAACUGACAGGGGCAUCUGUGAGAGGCCUCCUGGCUUCUAGGAGACACAGUAAGAAAGUCUAUUUUAUGUCUUUUGGCUUUCAUUUAUUUGUUUGUUUGUUUGGUUUUUCAAAACAAGUUUUCUUGUGUAACAG